AUGGUUCCGCUGGGUUUUCCGUAUCUGGUGGACAGAUGGGGGACAGAGGAAGGACGACGCAUGGAAGAUUUUAAUGGGCCAGGCCACGCUCCACAGGCCAGAACUCAAACGAGGCCACGCCUCACUGCACAGGAGGCCGGGGAGCAGGGUCUUCGUGCCCAGAGGGGAAGGAACCGGGUUUUAGUACACCGGUCCCUGCCAGGCCUGGCACAGACUGUGACGGGUCAUGACCAUCAUGUCGUGUUAGUCUCUGCACGUACAGUAUUUGUGUCUGGUGCACAUCUGACCAGGCCCACUGGAUGCUGGGCAUGGGACAGAAUGACCUCACGUUCCGACAGGGACAGAGGGGCUUCGUACACGGAGCUGGAUGGUGGAGCCAGAUGAUGGAGCCAGGAUUGGGCAACAACAUACAUUCGAGGCAUCCACCUUUCCUGGUGAGUUCAUCUUGGUUUUGUAUCUGCUGUUCUUUUAUUUCUUCUCCUUAUUCAUAUUUUGACCAUGUUUUAUACCUACCAUCAAAAAAUAGAUGUUCCCAUUGUGGCUCAGUGUGUUACGGACUCAAUUAGUAUCCAUGAGGAUGUGGGUUCAAUCCCUGACCUCGAUCAGUGGGUUAAGGAUCUGGCAUUGCUGUGGUGUAGGCCGGCAGUUGCAGCUCAGAUUCAACCCCUAGCCUGAGAACUUCCAUAUGCCACAAGUGUGGCCCUAAAAAACAGCAAAAAAACAAAAAAACAAAACAAAAAAAGGAUUGUCUCCCAAACAUUAGUUCUUGUGAUUCCUUAGCUCUCAGGGAUGUAGACAUGUCUGCAUUUGAUGGGGUUUUCUUUACCUUCCCUCCAAGUUCAGUACAUGCUUUGUAGUCUUAAUGAAUCACCUUUCGCCGUCUAUGGAGGUUAUUUCCCCCCUAAUUUAAAGAAAGGAUCUGCCAGUGGAACAACCUAAAUGAACUGAAAUGCCCCUGCCGAGUGCGCUUGCCCGGAGGACAGGCUCGUCGUUGAUAGACUUUAAUCAGAUCCCUCUUCUCCGUUCCCAGGAAAUCCUCCUUCAGUGAACUUCUCCUAACCCUGUCUCUGGGGUGUCACCCGGCCGUAAGGCCAGCGGGGGAGUCGUUUUUGGAAGGCCGCAUGGGGAACAGCUUUGGUGAAGUGUCUUUUCCUCUCCAAGAAAGAUCACAGGAAAACCUUUUGCUCAGAAUAAGCAUUUUGGAAGGGUGCUUGGCAGGCUUUGGCCCUUCAGUGGGGGCAGCACCCUCCCGGGGAGCUGGGGUGUCAGCAGCAGCGGGAGCAGCCACCUCAGCCUUGGGGGGCCCAAGCCACUCCUUCUAGCCCCCUCCCCCGUUAAGGAAUGUCCACCUUCCCUUGGGCCCAGGUGUGGGUUUGUCUUUUUC
RNAcentral lists this long non-coding RNA (1384 nucleotides) under Sus scrofa (pig). RNAcentral describes it as "lncRNA (ENSSSCG00015002954.1)". Lineage: Eukaryota; Metazoa; Chordata; Mammalia; Artiodactyla; Suidae. The record is from RNAcentral.